CCCCUCCCCUUUCCCAGGUGAUUGCGUUUGGGUGCUGGGUGGGGACAAAAGGUAUAUGAGCCCCAGGCAUGCCAUCAGAGAGCUCCUUCUGCCUGGGCUGCUCUCUGGGGUAAGUGCUUUGCUUUUCCUUCAGUCAGUUGCAGGGUUCUCUAGGCAGGCUGGAGCCUAUGGAUUUCUGGAUUUUAAGUGCUUGGAAUUCACUUAGUAGAGGGAUGUUUAGUAGGGGCUGCUGGCUCACUGUUUUUUUGGGAUGGUGGGAUACUCUUCUGUUUUUGAGCUAUAUUUUAAUAUCUAGAUGUAUAAACCCACUUGUGUAACUCUCCAGAGGACUAAAACCAGCUUGACUGCAUGCUACAUGUGGCUUGGCAGUGUAGAUGCAGCAUUACUAAGAGACUGAGCAGGGUUGUAUCAGAGUCACCUCUUUCAUCUGCCGUGUUUGCUGAGCGUGGUUGGCAGGAGGAGGUGGGGAGCUCCUCAGGACUGGUGCUUUGUGCAGUCGUGGACAGGGAAGGGAAAUCCUCAUGUCACGAAGCACUGAGGGAAGGCUGCAAUGCAGUGUGCAGUGCAGGAUGUCUCAACCAGCUGCCUCUGCAGUGACUCUGGUGCGUGAUGAGCAGAGAGGCGCUAUAAGUGGGUGAAGAGAACAGAUGGAAGCAUCUGCCAGGUGGGGCAGGCAAUCGGCUGAGGUACAGGAGGGGAUGAGAGUAUGUGAUUUUUUUCCCGGGGGUGGAAUGGAAUUAAUUUUGUUGGUGUAUAAUCUGUUCUGCUCCUAG
RNAcentral lists this long non-coding RNA (773 nucleotides) under Anas platyrhynchos platyrhynchos (common mallard). RNAcentral describes it as "lncRNA (ENSAPLG00000019111.1)". Lineage: Eukaryota; Metazoa; Chordata; Aves; Anseriformes; Anatidae. The record is from RNAcentral.